This 27-nucleotide non-coding RNA is filed under the name Homo sapiens (human). Lineage: Eukaryota; Metazoa; Chordata; Mammalia; Primates; Hominidae. The record is from RNAcentral.
CAAGAAGCAAACGGGAGCCUUUCUGAA